This 2252-nucleotide long non-coding RNA is filed under the name Sus scrofa (pig). Its description in RNAcentral is "lncRNA (ENSSSCG00005034389.1)". Lineage: Eukaryota; Metazoa; Chordata; Mammalia; Artiodactyla; Suidae. The record is from RNAcentral.
GGAUCAGAAGGUAAAAUACUCUACAGCGUACUUCCCAAUAGAUGCCAGGACCAAAUCCCGCACUCUGGCUCCUGGCCAGGGUGAUGCUCAGGGGAGACCCACCAUGUCCCCCACUCUGAUGCUCUCCACACAGGGAGCUCUCCCAGUUGCACAGUGUAGCCUCUGUGAACUUUCUACGGAAUCCUUGACAGCAAUCUAAGUUAUGGGCAUUCAAUGUGCUUUGUCUAUUCUCUUAGCAGGAGAAAUCCCUGGGACAAUUAGGGUCCUGGCGGGGCCACCUCUGGACAGACAGACCACCUUACCCCUGGAAGGCCUGGCAAGCCAGUACCCAAACCAUGUGCGCUGCAUCUAUGGUGAAAUAAUCACACUUUGCACAUCCCAAGUAAAGCGUGCAAGUACAUUUUUAAGGAGUUCCUUUUGUGGCUCAGCAGGUUAUGGACUCAACUAGUAUCCAUCAGGAUGCAAGUCCAAUCCCUGGCCUCGUUCAGUGGGUUAAGGAUCUGGUGUUGCCAUGAGCUGUGCCCACUUCAGGCAGUGCCCGCCGAAUUCCAGGGCGCCUCCUUCCCUCUCCUUUCUGUGGAACUGCUCAGGGACAGGGGAUGAAGAGGACAGCCUAGUCUUGCUGGUGGAGGUAAAUCUUAAACCUCAGAGCCAGUAAAAACGUACCCCACAAACAAGUUAUUUGGAAAUGACAUGUAGGAAGGCAACACCAGAAUGGCUCUUUCAUAUAUCUCACUGCGCUUCACAGCCGGCGAGAUCCCGGUCCUUGAGGUGUUUAAGGAUUUUACCGAGAUGAAACGUCCUAAGGAGGAACGUGUCUUCCAUCUACCCGUGCCCCGCACCACCUACAGCCAAAUAAAGUUCUCCUCCAAGAAAACGAGAAACAACUCCUUUUGCGCUCCUGACGGAUGUGACCUCAGGGAGAAAAAGUUCUGUCCUGUGGACUCUCACCCCGAACACUUCUGGGCAGAAGUCAGCUGCCCCCACGCCUGGACCUGCUGGGACCUGGGGUCUCCAAUGACUCCCCAGCAUCCUCCACAAUACCUGUGAGCCUUCUGGAUCCAGGAGGAAUUGAACUCUACGCAGUGCACCUGUUAUGCUAAUUAUAUUGUCUUGCACUGAAUCUUUGAAAAAUGGUCAACUACUUUGCAUACAGUGACAUUCUCGUGCUCCCCCCCAUUUAAUUAGCUAAAAUUCCACAUCCUCUGAGCUGGCCAGACGACACACGUGCUGGGCAUUUUCAGGAGAUUCUGAAACCACAUAGCACAUCUGGGAGAAAACCGUGCAUUUAUUAAGAAUAACCUUUUUUUUCCCCUAACCAAGUUUCCUGUUAUACAUGUAAUUUUGCAGCAGUGAGCCAGUGUAGUUCAAAACAUGUCACUCAUUCAUUUGUUCAUUCGAUAUAUAUUCAUAGAAAUCUACAGUGAACUCAACUUUGGGCUAAACUCUUCCUAAAACAAAUCACUUAAGUGGAAAAGUCUGUGGAAAGUAACUCUCAAUUACCUGCCUAAACAAAGAUUCCCAGAGGGAAGACGCGGACAGCCACCUCAUUCUUUCCCUGUGUCUGCCGCUAAAGCCAGCGUCUGAAGACAGAAGGGGAACGCUGACUCGACGAGCUCCAGGCGGCCUCGUUGCUCUCAGCUCUGCCUGUGUGCAGAUGGUCCCCGGCUGACUGGCGGCGGUUCGGCCUCGGAUUCUGGGGCCUGGGACGGUGCGGAAGUGACACACAUCUCGUACAAACUGCACCUAGAAUCCCGGGCUGCGAUCUUCUCCCAGGCUGGCAGCAGGCGGUCCAGUCCCCUCUCAUGAUGCUGGGCGGCGGCAGCGGCANNNNNNNNNNNNNNNNNNNNNNNNNNNNNNNCUGGAGCUCCACCAGCCCCGCCAUCGGGAGGGUGAACAACCAGCACGCUGACAACCACUGGAUCCACUUUCAGCACAGCAUUCCAUCAGUGACACGCGCUCCGCAACACUGUAUUAUAAACCAGGCUUUGUGUUCGAUGGUCUGGCCCAACCGCAGCCCCAGGCGAGCCCUGCGAGCAUGCGGAUGGUGGGCAAGGCUAAGCCGUGACACUCAGUGGGUCAGGUGCAUCAAGUGCAGGUUUUUCUGAAGAUAUUUUCAAUUUCCAGUGGGCCCAUGGGGAUGUGAUUCUGCCGUAAGUCGCGGAAGAUCUUACUGGGAAUGGCGAUGUCUCACUUUCUGGUAUGGAGUGGUGCCACCAUCGUCAGCAAAGCGAGAGGGCGGGAGCAGGGCU